Molecule: transfer RNA, 71 nt
Filed under: Eleutherodactylus auriculatus
Lineage: Eukaryota; Metazoa; Chordata; Amphibia; Anura; Eleutherodactylidae
Description: tRNA-Val
Source: RNAcentral
AAAACAGUAGCUUAAACAAAGCAUCUUGCUUACACCAAGAACAUGUCCAUAAUAGGACCAUUUUGAAUUAG